Molecule: ribosomal RNA, 877 nt
Filed under: Zoanthus sansibaricus
Lineage: Eukaryota; Metazoa; Cnidaria; Anthozoa; Zoantharia; Zoanthidae
Description: partial 16S ribosomal RNA
Rfam family: Bacterial large subunit ribosomal RNA
Source: RNAcentral
GUAUCCUUCUGGCAAGGGUACUGUACUAAACUAACUAAAGUGGGGGAUAGUGAGGGGAUAAAUUUUCUUAAGGAACUCGGCAAAAUCCCAAUGGCCCACCAGGGCAUAUUGGAACACGGGCCUCGACUGUUUACCAAAAACAUAGCCCUCGGCUAAUAUGAAAAUAGAUGUAUAGAGGGUGAUGCCUGCCCAAUGGUUGUAUCUAAAAGCGGUUGAUAAAAGUUGACCUCGUAAGGACAAUUGAAUGGCCGCGGUAACACUGACCGUGAUAAUGUAGCGUAAUCAAUAGCCAAUUAAUUGUUGGCCAGUAUGAAUGGCGCCACGAAGGCCCCACUGUCUUAAGGAAAUUCCCAGUGAAAUUGAAUUCGUAGUGAAGAUGCUACGUCCAAUUUGUUAGACGAAAAGACCCCGUUGAGCUUUACUGGAGCACUUACAUGGCCCCGGCCUUCCCAUGCCUGGGAACCGGCCGAAUUUAAAUGGGCGGCUUAGAUUAUGUGGCAGCCCCCCGCUGGGGCAAAUGAAACACCACUCCCCCAUGUCAAAGGGGCUAACCCCCCCCCUUGGGGGGACAGUGUAAGUAGGACAGUUUGGUUGGGGCGACCACCUUUUAAAAAGUAACGAAGGUGCGCUUAAGGUGCGCAAUUAAUGACUGAAGCCUGACUGCGAGGGGGACACCCCGAGCAGACACCCCAAAGCCCGCCCGAAAGGCGGCGGUGGGGUGGGCCAUACUGACCCGUUAAUUUAGAGUGGAAUAGUUAACGAUCAACGAAUAAAAGUUACCACGGGGAUAACAGCGUAAUAUCGUUAGAGAGUUCACAUCGACGACGAUGUUUGCGACCUCGAUGUUGAAUUGCGGCAUCCUGGGGUGCAGCCGCUC